GGCGAUGAGUAGUGGGACGAGACGUGAGGUACGUGUGUAGCGGUCGAUAGAGCUUCCGACCCAGGUUAUUUCGAUUUAGCUAUUACCCUUUAUUACUUCUGAUGAUAUAUAUAGCUUAGUCGGUUUACAUGGUUCAGUUCUGUUUUAUUAUCUGGAUUUUCAACGGGUUUUGGAAUGAACUAAAAGAUUGGUGUUUUCUCGAAAUAAAACAGUUUUCUACCCCUCGUGGUAGCUGGUUUUGAAAAAGAAUGGUUCCCGUGUGGGGAACAGUUUUCAAAUUAAAUUUUCUGUGGUUUUUAUGGAUUUAGUAUUUCAAAAUCAGUUUCCAGGUAGGAAACAUUUUAACUGAUAGAUGUGGAAUGUUUUCAUAACUCAAGUAUCAUAUCUGUGUGUGUGAAUGGAAUGGAUGAAUGUUAUCUCUCUUGUUCAUCUGGUUGUGGUUGUGUGUGUAUCUAUACUCUGUUGUACUUGUGCGACGCCGUGCAAAUACAGGGGAGAUUCUGUCCGUGGGAACAGUGGAUUCCCUGUGUUUGUGGCGGAUCUGGCACUCUGGGGUCAGGUUUUCAAAAAAAAAUUUAUAGCUAAUUUUCCGCUGUGCUUUUGAACAAAUAAAAGGACCCCGGGGCGUGACAAUUAUUAAAUUCAAAUAGUAAGUGGAUUAAUGAGAUAUUUGAGAAGUUCACGGAUAUUACGUUGCGAAAGAAUUGGCAGGUGCGGAUAUUACGCGUGGAAAAUAUUUGAGAAACGCGUAGAUAGAAAAUAUGAUAUAAAUGCGAGGGUAAUAUUAUCACAAAAAGUAACAGAUAUUUUUAUUUUUAAUUAUUAGAUAAGAUCUAAUGGUAAAAAAUUAAUAUCUUUUACUAUAUUAUUAAAAAUCACCUAUAAUGAAGGGGAUUUUAUUUCAAAGUCACCUAUAAUUAUGUUGAGAUAUUUGAGAAAUUCACGGAUAUUACGUUGCGAAAGAAUUGGCGGGUGCUGAUAUUAUGCGUGAGAAGGAAAAUAUUUAUCUUUAUUUGGGAAUAAAUUAUUACUUAGUUCAAUAUUUGAAAUGAUUGGUUGAAAAUUACUGGACAUAAAAAUAUUAGUAAAAAAGAAUAGAGGCAUUUUUGGAAAGAGGAAAAAAUUCAAAACUCACGCUUGUAUAAGUAGUAUAGAUAUAGAUAUUGCAUGUCACUUUUAUACUAUCACUCAUUCUGUAAUUUUUAUUUCGUAAUUUUUUUUUCCCUACUGUCACUUCUGUAAUUUUCUUAGUUCUUAAAUGUUGAUGCUUUAAAAUAGAACAUAUUAUUUUUAUUUUAUUAUUUAAAUACGAAGCAAGUAUUAAUUUUUCUUGGAUGUCUUAUUGUUCUCAGGAUAUGGCACUUGGGUAUGAUUCUAUACGUGACAUCACUUCUCUUGGAGACAAAUGGAAGAUCAAAGUCAGAGUGAUUUGUCUGUAUACUAUACCUGAAUUUCAUCGUCCAGAGGUGGUGAAUAGCCUAGAGUUAGU
This 1489-nucleotide long non-coding RNA is filed under the name Ananas comosus (pineapple). RNAcentral's name for it is "long non-coding RNA (ACOM_LNC037776)". Lineage: Eukaryota; Viridiplantae; Streptophyta; Magnoliopsida; Poales; Bromeliaceae. The record is from RNAcentral.